AAAUGCGAUAAGUAGUGUGCAUUGCAGAAUUCAGUGAAUCAUCGAAUCUUUGAACGCACAUUGCGCCCUUUGGUAUUCCUUAGGGCAUGCCUGUUCGAGCGUCAUCUAAACCUUCAAGCCCUGCUUGGUGUUGGGUGCCUGUCCCGCCUCCGCGCGCGGACUCACCUCAAAUCCAUUGGCGGCCCCCGCGUCGGCCACGAGCGCAGCAGAAACGCGAACUCGUGAGCCCGUCCGGGCGGCUCCCAGAAGCUACACCCACCCAGUUUGACCUCGGAUCAGGUAGGGAUACCCGCUGAACUUAAGC
This 304-nucleotide unclassified non-coding RNA is filed under the name plant metagenome. RNAcentral's name for it is "partial contains 5.8S ribosomal RNA, internal transcribed spacer 2, and large subunit ribosomal RNA". The stretch from base 1 to 104 matches the Rfam family "5.8S ribosomal RNA", at positions 51 to 154 of the family's 154-position model. The record is from RNAcentral.